CCCUUAGAUGUCCGGGGCUGCACGCGCGCUACACUGAAUGAAUCAGCGUGCUAGAAAACCUUGUUUGACAUGGCUAGGUAACCCAUUGAAAAUCAUUCGUGAUUGGGAUCGGGACUUGCAAAUGUGUCCCUUGAACGAGGAAUUCCCAGUAAGUGCGGGUCAUCAGCUCGCGUUGAUUACGUCCCUGCCCUUUGUACACACCGCCCGUCGCUCCUACCGAUUGAAUGGUCCGGUGAAGCGUUCGGACCGUGGCCUUUGGACGGUUCGCCGUCUGUUGGCUGCGGGAAGUUCGUUAAACCUUAUCAUUUAGAGGAAGGAGAAGUCGUAACA
This 330-nucleotide ribosomal RNA is filed under the name uncultured eukaryote. Its description in RNAcentral is "partial 18S ribosomal RNA". It matches the Rfam family "Eukaryotic small subunit ribosomal RNA", at positions 1470 to 1796 of the family's 1831-position model. The record is from RNAcentral.